UACGAAGGGGGCUAGCGUUGCUCGGAAUUACUGGGCGUAAAGCGCACGUAGGCGGAUUGUUAAGUCGGGGGUGAAAUCCUGGAGCUCAACUCCAGAACUGCCUUCGAUACUGGCGAUCUCGAGUCCGGGAGAGGUGAGUGGAACUGCGAGUGUAGAGGUGAAAUUCGUAGAUAUUCGCAAGAACACCAGUGGCGAAGGCGGCGACCUGGUCCUUGACUGACGCUGAGGCGCGAAAGCGUGGGGAGCAAACAGG
This 253-nucleotide ribosomal RNA is filed under the name uncultured bacterium. Its description in RNAcentral is "partial 16S ribosomal RNA". It matches the Rfam family "Bacterial small subunit ribosomal RNA", at positions 524 to 776 of the family's 1533-position model. The record is from RNAcentral.